RNAcentral lists this ribosomal RNA (915 nucleotides) under gamma proteobacterium SO7Ram. Its description in RNAcentral is "partial 16S ribosomal RNA". The stretch from base 1 to 748 matches the Rfam family "Bacterial small subunit ribosomal RNA", at positions 138 to 873 of the family's 1533-position model. The record is from RNAcentral. Lineage: Bacteria; Pseudomonadati; Pseudomonadota; Gammaproteobacteria.
GGGGGAUAACGUUCGGAAACGGACGCUAAUACCGCAUACGUCCUACGGGAGAAAGCAGGGGACCUUCGGGCCUUGCGCUAUCAGAUGAGCCUAGGUCGGAUUAGCUAGUUGGUGGGGUAAUGGCUCACCAAGGCGACGAUCCGUAACUGGUCUGAGAGGAUGAUCAGUCACACUGGAACUGAGACACGGUCCAGACUCCUACGGGAGGCAGCAGUGGGGAAUAUUGGACAAUGGGCGAAAGCCUGAUCCAGCCAUGCCGCGUGUGUGAAGAAGGUCUUCGGAUUGUAAAGCACUUUAAGUUGGGAGGAAGGGUUGUAGAUUAAUACUCUGCAAUUUUGACGUUACCGACAGAAUAAGCACCGGCUAACUCUGUGCCAGCAGCCGCGGUAAUACAGAGGGUGCAAGCGUUAAUCGGAAUUACUGGGGCGUAAAGCGCGCGUAGGUGGUUAGUUAAGUUGGAUGUGAAAUCCCCGGGCUCAACCUGGGAACUGCAUUCAAAACUGACUGACUANAGUAUGGUAGAGGGUGGGUGGGAAUUUCCUGUGUUACCGGUGAAAUGCGUAGAUAUAGGAAAGGACACCANUGGGCGAAGGCGAACCAACCUGGGACUGAAUACUUGACACUGAAGGUGCCAAAACGUUGGGGGAACAAACAAGGAUUANUACCUGGUAUCCACNCCGUUAACNAUUUCACUAACNUUUGGAAGCCUGANCUCCUUAAUGGCCAACUAACNCAUUAAUUUACCNCCUGGGGAUACGGCCCAAGUUAAAUCNAAUAAUUGCNGGGGCCCCAANGCGUGGACCANUGNUUAUNCNACANCCAAAAACUUACANGCUUGAAUCAAAGAAUUCUAAAAAAUUGNNCUCGGAAAUNAAAGNCGNAGGUNCCCNCCCNUCUAAAUGGUAUCCUACCCNN